Molecule: transfer RNA, 76 nt
Filed under: Gammaproteobacteria bacterium
Lineage: Bacteria; Pseudomonadati; Pseudomonadota; Gammaproteobacteria
Description: tRNA-His
Rfam family: tRNA
About the family: Transfer RNA (tRNA) molecules are approximately 80 nucleotides in length. Their secondary structure includes four short double-helical elements and three loops (D, anti-codon, and T loops). Further hydrogen bonds mediate the characteristic L-shaped molecular structure. tRNAs have two regions of fundamental functional importance: the anti-codon, which is responsible for specific mRNA codon recognition, and the 3' end, to which the tRNAs corresponding amino acid is attached (by aminoacyl-tRNA synthetases). tRNAs cope with the degeneracy of the genetic code in two manners: having more than one tRNA (with a specific anti-codon) for a particular amino acid; and 'wobble' base-pairing, i.e. permitting non-standard base-pairing at the 3rd anti-codon position.
Source: RNAcentral
GUGGGUAUAGCUCAGUUGGUAGAGCCCUGGAUUGUGAUUCCAGUCGUCGCCGGUUCGAGCCCGGUUACCCACCCCA